Molecule: long non-coding RNA, 689 nt
Filed under: Homo sapiens (human)
Lineage: Eukaryota; Metazoa; Chordata; Mammalia; Primates; Hominidae
Description: long non-coding RNA NONHSAT173492.1
Source: RNAcentral
CGGCCCCCCACCCAGCUGGAGAGGCUGCAGGCACAGAGGCCAGGCCUGGACAGCACAGGGAGGGCCAGGUCGGCGGGCCACAGCCCUGAGGCUCACCUCCCGGAUGAUGCGGCCCGACACAGCAUCCAGCACCACGACUCUGUUGGACGAGGUGGACACCAGCAGGUGGCCCAGAGCUGCAGGGCCAAAGCACACAGCCAUGGCUGAGUCCAGGCGGCUGCUGGCCAGGUCCAGAGUGCCGAUGUCAACUCGCAGCAGCUGGGGGUAGUGGACCCAGUCGGUGCACCAGGAAACCGGCAUGUGUGUCCAGGUGUGGGCCUGCACCAGAUCCAGGCCUCCCCCGCCCUGAGGAGUCCCCCAGAGUGGCUGCAGGGGGCCCAACCUGCCACUCGGAGGACAUGCCACUGGGGGUCCGCACAGCUGUACUGGGCCAGGGAGCCCUGGGAGCAGGAGCUGAAGCCUGCAGCACACACAGGGACCCCGCUGGCCCUAGCCCCGAAGCCCAGGACCUCAGCGGCCUCCAGGCUGAAGGAGCGCACGGCCCCACUGCUAAAGCCACAGAAAAAGGUUGGCCUUGUGGGGUGGAAGGUGACAGCGCACGGGGCGUCCUCUGAUGAUGUGAAGUCGUAUAGCUGUGGGACAGGGGCCGUGCUGAGGGGAGGGCAGGGAUCUCAAGGGCCCAGGGGCUC